This 68-nucleotide transfer RNA is filed under the name Salmo salar (Atlantic salmon). It matches the Rfam family "tRNA". From Rfam's summary of the family: Transfer RNA (tRNA) molecules are approximately 80 nucleotides in length. The record is from Rfam by way of RNAcentral. RNAcentral also lists the same sequence under 1 other name. Lineage: Eukaryota; Metazoa; Chordata; Actinopteri; Salmoniformes; Salmonidae.
CCAUGUAGCUCAGUUGGUUGAGCAUGGCACUUGCAACUCCAGGGUUGUGGGUUCGACUCCCACAAUGG